Long non-coding RNA from Bombyx mori (domestic silkworm), 617 nucleotides. RefSeq lists it as uncharacterized. The record is from RefSeq and is a predicted model, not a curated record. NCBI's taxonomy places the organism in Eukaryota, Metazoa, Arthropoda, Insecta, Lepidoptera, Bombycidae. The transcript is spliced from 2 exons.
GACACUGAUUUACACAGAAUUGACUUUGAAUUAUUUAUGGAAAUUGGAGAAAAUGCAAUUAAAAUCGUUGUAAUAAGUAGAAUAAAAUUUACGCAUUUAUGUUUGGCUAAUAAUCAAUGUGCACUUUUUAGAACUACAUAACCCACAUACGAUGCGAUAACGUCACUUAUGCAAAUUUUUCAGAAGUAACGUUGGAAAAUUCAGCAGCUUAUUAUAGUUCUGCCUUCGAUCAACAAUAGUAACUAGAUUUCGGGUCGGUGCAUAAAAUCCGUCUCGUCAAAUAACAGCUCACUUGAAAUGUGAGCUGUUAUUUUGUUUAGUUCACUUCAAACACAGCCAAUGUUAACCCGUCUCACAAUACCGCAGUGUGUAUUCAAAAGUUGCAAAAAUAAGGCCCGAAAAAGCAAUUUAACGGCCGGAGUAUCUUACUUUCGCUUUCCUAGCAAUCACGUGUGCAGAAUGGAUCUCGAUUGUCGCCAGAGAAACAAGAGAUGACUUUUAUAAGCCAGCUAAGAUCUCCGCUCAUUGACACUGGACAUCUUUGCCUUCCGUGCUCACGACUACUGAAACGUGGCCGAAACAUUGUAAUAAAAAUACCGCGCUUGAAACCGUUUAAA